Molecule: ribosomal RNA, 253 nt
Filed under: bacterium
Lineage: Bacteria
Also listed under: 2 other names
Description: partial 16S ribosomal RNA
Rfam family: Bacterial small subunit ribosomal RNA
Source: RNAcentral
UACGAAGGGGGCUAGCGUUGCUCGGAAUUACUGGGCGUAAAGGGAGCGUAGGCGGAUAGUUUAGUGAGAGGUGAAAGCCCAGGGCUCAACCUUGGAACUGCCUUUCAUACUGGCUAUCUUGAGUACGGGAGAGGUGAGUGGAACUCCGAGUGUAGAGGUGAAAUUCGUAGAUAUUCGGAAGAACACCAGUGGCGAAGGCGACUCACUGGCCCGUUACUGACGCUGAGGCUCGAAAGCGUGGGGAGCAAACAGG